ACCAAAACACCAGAAAAUUAAACACAAUCUACAAUUUUUUGAAGGAAGUGAGAUUCCUCCAGCUCAUCCAUGGCUUAUCCCAAACUUCCGCCAAGUACUUAUCGCCGCUGCGGCUACGACGACCGCCGUCUGUGGCGGAGAUGACCAGUCGGUAAUUUGUCCCGGCGACGACUUGUGUUUCUCCUUUCACCACUCGUUUAAACACUAAUUUGGAUUUGGUAUUCUCGUUGUACUGAUCCACUGCGAAUUUACCGAUCUCCACUACUUUACUGUCUUUUGUGUCGGUUAUACGGCUCCAACCGCCGAGUAAACCGCCUUUUCCUCCGCCGAGUGCAGCGGAGGCGUGGAAGAAGAGGGAAGCGACUACCACGGCGGCGAAGAGAGUUCCGGCGAGAUUGCGGUUGAAUUUUAGAGCCAUUAACUGUACAGCCUG
This 433-nucleotide unclassified non-coding RNA is filed under the name Hevea brasiliensis (rubber tree). The record is from RNAcentral. Lineage: Eukaryota; Viridiplantae; Streptophyta; Magnoliopsida; Malpighiales; Euphorbiaceae.